Non-coding RNA from Arvicanthis niloticus (Nile rat), 75 nucleotides. The record is from RefSeq and is a predicted model, not a curated record. Lineage: Eukaryota; Metazoa; Chordata; Mammalia; Rodentia; Muridae.
UGGAUUCAUGAUGACUAAACAAGGAAUGGUUUUUGAGUCAUGGACGGUGACGAGAAAUCUGAGUCUGAGGUCCAC